This 77-nucleotide transfer RNA is filed under the name Enterobacter hormaechei. RNAcentral's name for it is "tRNA-Arg". It matches the Rfam family "tRNA". Rfam says of the family: Transfer RNA (tRNA) molecules are approximately 80 nucleotides in length. Their secondary structure includes four short double-helical elements and three loops (D, anti-codon, and T loops). The record is from RNAcentral. Lineage: Bacteria; Pseudomonadati; Pseudomonadota; Gammaproteobacteria; Enterobacterales; Enterobacteriaceae.
GCAUCCGUAGCUCAGCUGGAUAGAGUACUCGGCUACGAAGCGAGCGGUCGGAGGUGCGAAUCCUCCCGGAUGCACCA